Molecule: long non-coding RNA, 215 nt
Filed under: Salvator merianae (Argentine black and white tegu)
Lineage: Eukaryota; Metazoa; Chordata; Lepidosauria; Squamata; Teiidae
Description: lncRNA (ENSSMRG00000014034.1)
Source: RNAcentral
AUCCAGGCCAGUUUUGCUUCAAAGCUGCAAUUCGGCAGUGCUCUAACCAGUGUCCUGCUGUAUAGAAUGACAAAGCACCAGACUGAUAUCCCUGAUGGAAGUAAUCAAGAAUGAUGAAUGUUCUGUCUGUGUCAGUGAUAGCCAAGGCAAGAAAAAUCCAAAAGCAGUUUACAAGAGAAAAUCAUGAAAAUACAUUUAUUUGGAUCAAGUCCUGA